Non-coding RNA from Taeniopygia guttata (zebra finch), 345 nucleotides. The record is from RefSeq and is a predicted model, not a curated record. Lineage: Eukaryota; Metazoa; Chordata; Aves; Passeriformes; Estrildidae.
UUGUCCCUUUUUUUUUUUUUUUUUGCCUGGAAAAUGGUGAAUUCUGAAUGAGCAAUGGUAUCAUUAAUGUUUAUGAGUAUUAUUCCUGAAACACUCCUCCUGAUGUCAUAUGAUGUCAUAUGCUUUUCAAGAAAAAUAAUCAUUAUUAAAGUCCCAAUUGAAGUGAUGGUGAUCUGUAGACCACAAAGUGCCCUUUAAAUAAAAUUCAGGUUGUGUCUCUGUAAGUCACAGUAUAGUUAAUUGUGGUCCCUGCAUUUAAGAAAAUAUUCUGUUUCCUGUCCUUUUUAAUCUAAAAUUUUUGAUUUGUUAACCUUGCCCUAAAUAAUUUUGUCCGUAGUAAGAGUA